AGGGAACGCUGGCGGCAGGCCUAACACAUGCAAGUCGAGCGGAUGAAGGGAGCUUGCUCCUGGAUUCAGCGGCGGACGGGUGAGUAAUGCCUAGGAAUCUGCCUGGUAGUGGGGGAUAACGUCCGGAAACGGGCGCUAAUACCGCAUACGUCCUGAGGGAGAAAGUGGGGGAUCUUCGGACCUCACGCUAUCAGAUGAGCCUAGGUCGGAUUAGCUAGUUGGUGGGGUAAAGGCCUACCAAGGCGACGAUCCGUAACUGGUCUGAGAGGAUGAUCAGUCACACUGGAACUGAGACACGGUCCAGACUCCUACGGGAGGCAGCAGUGGGGAAUAUUGGACAAUGGGCGAAAGCCUGAUCCAGCCAUGCCGCGUGUGUGAAGAAGGUCUUCGGAUUGUAAAGCACUUUAAGUUGGGAGGAAGGGCAGUAAGUUAAUACCUUGCUGUUUUGACGUUACCAACAGAAUAAGCACCGGCUAACUUCGUG
This 484-nucleotide ribosomal RNA is filed under the name uncultured bacterium. RNAcentral's name for it is "partial 16S ribosomal RNA". It matches the Rfam family "Bacterial small subunit ribosomal RNA", at positions 31 to 507 of the family's 1533-position model. The record is from RNAcentral.